Molecule: ribosomal RNA, 2010 nt
Filed under: Serratia sp. TEL
Lineage: Bacteria; Pseudomonadati; Pseudomonadota; Gammaproteobacteria; Enterobacterales; Yersiniaceae
Description: bacterial LSU rRNA
Rfam family: Bacterial large subunit ribosomal RNA
Source: RNAcentral
AUACCGAAGAAUGUUAUCACGGGAGACACACGGCGGGUGCUAACGUCCGUCGUGAAGAGGGAAACAACCCAGACCGCCAGCUAAGGUCCCAAAGUCAUGGUUAAGUGGGAAACGAUGUGGGAAGGCAUAGACAGCCAGGAUGUUGGCUUAGAAGCAGCCAUCAUUUAAAGAAAGCGUAAUAGCUCACUGGUCGAGUCGGCCUGCGCGGAAGAUGUAACGGGGCUAAACCAUGCACCGAAGCUGCGGCAGCGACGCUUAGGCGUUGUUGGGUAGGGGAGCGUUCUGUAAGCCGUUGAAGGUGGCCUGUGAGGGUUGCUGGAGGUAUCAGAAGUGCGAAUGCUGACAUAAGUAACGAUAAAGCGGGUGAAAAGCCCGCUCGCCGGAAGACCAAGGGUUCCUGUCCAACGUUAAUCGGGGCAGGGUGAGUCGACCCCUAAGGCGAGGCUGAAAAGCGUAGUCGAUGGGAAACAGGUUAAUAUUCCUGUACUUGGUGUUACUGCGAAGGGGGGACGGAGAAGGCUAGGCUAGCCGGGCGACGGUUGUCCCGGUUUAAGCGUGUAGGGGGUGUGACCUGGUAAAUCCGGUUGCAUAUCAACCCUGAGGCGUGAUGACGAUGCACUACGGUGCAGAAGUAGUUGAUGCCCUGCUUCCAGGAAAAUCCUCUAAGCUCCAGGUAACAUUAAAUCGUACCCCAAACCGACACAGGUGGUCAGGUAGAGAAUACCAAGGCGCUUGAGAGAACUCGGGUGAAGGAACUAGGCAAAAUGGUGCCGUAACUUCGGGAGAAGGCACGCUGGCAUGUAGGUGAAGUCCCUUGCGGAUGGAGCUGAAGCCAGUCGAAGAUACCAGCUGGCUGCAACUGUUUAAUAAAAACACAGCACUGUGCAAACACGAAAGUGGACGUAUACGGUGUGACGCCUGCCCGGUGCUGGAAGGUUAAUUGAUGGGGUCAGCCGCAAGGCGAAGCUCUUGAUCGAAGCCCCAGUAAACGGCGGCCGUAACUAUAACGGUCCUAAGGUAGCGAAAUUCCUUGUCGGGUAAGUUCCGACCUGCACGAAUGGCGUAAUGAUGGCCAGGCUGUCUCCACCCGAGACUCAGUGAAAUUGAACUCGCUGUGAAGAUGCAGUGUACCCGCGGCAAGACGGAAAGACCCCGUGAACCUUUACUAUAGCUUGACACUGAACAUUGAGCCUUGAUGUGUAGGAUAGGUGGGAGGCUUUGAAGCGUGGACGCCAGUCUGCGUGGAGCCAUCCUUGAAAUACCACCCUUUAAUGUUUGAUGUUCUAACUCGGCCCCAUAAUCUGGGGUGAGGACAGUGUCUGGUGGGUAGUUUGACUGGGGCGGUCUCCUCCCAAAGAGUAACGGAGGAGCACGAAGGUUAGCUAAUCACGGUCGGACAUCGUGAGGUUAGUGCAAAGGCAUAAGCUAGCUUGACUGCGAGAGUGACGGCUCGAGCAGGUACGAAAGUAGGUCUUAGUGAUCCGGUGGUUCUGAAUGGAAGGGCCAUCGCUCAACGGAUAAAAGGUACUCCGGGGAUAACAGGCUGAUACCGCCCAAGAGUUCAUAUCGACGGCGGUGUUUGGCACCUCGAUGUCGGCUCAUCACAUCCUGGGGCUGAAGUAGGUCCCAAGGGUAUGGCUGUUCGCCAUUUAAAGUGGUACGCGAGCUGGGUUUAGAACGUCGUGAGACAGUUCGGUCCCUAUCUGCCGUGGGCGUUGGAAGAUUGAGAGGGGUUGCUCCUAGUACGAGAGGACCGGAGUGAACGCACCACUGGUGUUCGGGUUGUCAUGCCAAUGGCAUUGCCCGGUAGCUAAGUGCGGAAAAGAUAAGCGCUGAAAGCAUCUAAGCGCGAAACUUGCCUCAAGAUGAGUCUUCCCUGGGCCUUUAAGGCCCCUGAAGGAACGUUUAAGACUAAGACGUUGAUAGGCUGGGUGUGUAAGUGCAGCGAUGCAUUGAGCUAACCAGUACUAAUGAUCCGUGAGGCUUAACCUUACAACACCGAAGGUGUUU